This is a long non-coding RNA of Syngnathoides biaculeatus (alligator pipefish), 1445 nucleotides long. RefSeq lists it as uncharacterized. The transcript has 5 exons. Lineage: Eukaryota; Metazoa; Chordata; Actinopteri; Syngnathiformes; Syngnathidae. The record is from RefSeq and is a predicted model, not a curated record.
CUCAAACACUGGUUACAACAAUAAAAUGACAAACAAAAGUAUUUCUUUUCACAAAUUAAUAAAACACAUUAAAAUACAAAUCCCUUCAACAGAAAAUAAAUUCAGCACACAACUUUAACAAAUAUUCCACCACCUUGUAUAAAGAAAACCUAUAAUCUAAUUGCUACUCGAUUUAUUUUCAUUUUGAACUGGGUUACGUAAGUAUUUUUAUAUUUUCUCAUUACGCGUUGCUUCAUGUCCGUUCCAAUACAUGUUGAUUUUAGAGAACACAAUUCUUAUUUGUUAGCUAGCCUAUUGCAUUUCCCAUUACAGCGAUGCCUCGCUUCUCGACCACAAUCCGUUCCAGAAAACGGUUCGAGAAGAGAUCUGUUCGAAAAGCGAAUCGAUGUUUCCCAUUACAAUGAAUGGAAAAAGAAAUAAUGCGUUCCAAGCCUAAAAAACAUGGCUUUUUAAAGCAUUUUUUUUAGCUUUUCCUGAUAUUAUUGACAAUAACAAAACACGCCGUGGGUGGGUCAACUGCUUGCACCACGCGCAAUGUUAUUUCUGGGUUUUUUCGGGGGGCGUUCGAAUAGACAAUAACAAAAUGCAGUGUGGGUGGGACAGCUACUUGCGCCGCACACAUUAUGUUAUUUCUGGGGUUUUUCGGCGGCGUGGGAAUUCACAACAAAACGCGUCGUGCGUCAGCUGGGCUGGCCGCGUGCAAUGUGUUAUUUCCGGGUUUUGUCGGGGGGCGUUCGAAUAUCGAUUUUCGUUCGAAUACGGGAGCAAAAAGAUCUCUAAAUUUUCGUUCAAAAACCAAUUUUUUUUUAGAACGAGGACGUUCGAGAACCGAGGCUUUACUGUAUUUAGUUCCAGUAUGUGGUUGUUUUAAAUGUGUGGUGUGUAAUUAUCUUUUGUUUUAUGUUUGUUUUGACAGUAAACUUAAUCGGGAAAUGCAAUUAAUUUUGAAAAAUUGUUCACCAUCUGCUGCUGCUUGUUGCAAAGCGCCGUAGUGGUCCCGGAGAAUAACGUGCAGGACCGCCCGGUAGAACAGCGACUCCAUCUGAAUCUUGUGUGAAACAAAAACAAAAAGCAGCUUUCCGGUGUUUCUGGUACACCUUGGAGAACUUCUUCAGCUUGCGGUUCCUCUCCUGGGCCCCGUGGGUGUUGGCGCUGGACGAGUCGAUGCCGAAGACACGGAGGCCGUGCUGCAGGGACAGGAAGGAGCUCAGCGCUUGGCUAAACAGUCCACCACCUCCGCCAUGGACUGCACCUCAUGCGACUUCUUGCUGUUCAUGAACUCAUCCGCCUCCAAUUCGACGCCUAAAACAGCAUUAAAGUACUCGUCGCGGCUCAUGCAGACCCCCAUCCCGGGAAGCGAGUGGGCCUUGGCUGCACGCAACAGUUCGUGUGCAUCAACCAGUCGCUUUGUGUCUGGGCAAAACCCAAAGGUGGUUCCCCGUUGC